Molecule: transfer RNA, 87 nt
Filed under: bacterium
Lineage: Bacteria
Also listed under: 1 other name
Description: tRNA-Ser
Rfam family: tRNA
About the family: Transfer RNA (tRNA) molecules are approximately 80 nucleotides in length.
Source: RNAcentral
GGAGAGGUGCGAGAGUGGUUGAAUCGGGCGGUCUCGAAAACCGCUGUACCCUUAGUGGUACCGUGGGUUCGAAUCCCACCCUCUCCG